GUAGGGAAUAUUGCGCAAUGGACGAAAGUCUGACGCAGCGACGCCGCGUGAGUGAUGAAGGCCUUAGGGUCGUAAAGCUCUGUUGAAUGGGAAGAAAAAAAUGACGGUACCAUUCGAGGAAGGACCGGCUAACUUCGUGCCAGCAGCCGCGGUAAUACGAGGGGUCCUAGCGUUGUUCGGAAUCAUUGGGCGUAAAGGGUGUGUAGGUGGCCAGGUAAGUCAGGUGUGAAAGCCCCGGGCUCAACCCGGGAAGUGCACUUGAUACUGCGUGGCUUGAGUACCGAAGAGGGUAGUGGAAUUCCAGGUGUAGUGGUGAAAUACGUAGAUAUCUGGAGGAACACCGGUGGCGAAGGCGGCUACCUGGUCGAGUACUGACACUGAGACACGAAAGCAUGGGGAUCAAACAGGAUUAGAUACCCCAGUAGUCC
RNAcentral lists this ribosomal RNA (428 nucleotides) under uncultured bacterium. RNAcentral's name for it is "partial 16S ribosomal RNA". It matches the Rfam family "Bacterial small subunit ribosomal RNA", at positions 354 to 796 of the family's 1533-position model. The record is from RNAcentral.